GUGAAAUGCGCAGAUAUCAGGAGGAACACCGAUGGCGAAGGCAGGUCUCUGGGCAUUAACUGACGCUGAGGAGCGAAAGCAUGGGGAGCGAACAGGAUUAGAUACCCUGGUAGUCCAUGCCGUAAACGUUGGGCACUAGGUGUGGGGGACAUUCCACGUUUUCCGCGCCGUAGCUAACGCAUUAAGUGCCCCGCCUGGGGAGUACGGCCGCAAGGCUAAAACUCAAAGGAAUUGACGGGGGCCCGCACAGGCGGCGGAGCAUGCGGAUUAAUUCGAUGCAACGCGAAGAACCUUACCAAGGCUUGACAUGAACCGGUAAUACCUGGAAACAGGUGCCCCGCUUGCGGUCGGUUUACAGGUGGUGCAUGGUUGUCGUCAGCUCGUGUCGUGAGAUGUUGGGUUAAGUCCCGCAACGAGCGCAACCCUCGUUCUAUGUUGCCAGCGCGUUAUGGCGGGGACUCAUAGGAGACUGCCGGGGUCAACUCGGAGGAAGGUGGGGACGACGUCAAAUCAUCAUGCCCCUUAUGUCUUGGGCUUCACGCAUGCUACAAUGGCCGGUACAAAGGGUUGCGAUACUGUGAGGUGGAGCUAAUCCCAAAAAGCCGGUCUCAGUUCGGAUUGGGGUCUGCAACUCGACCCCAUGAAGUCGGAGUCGCUAGUAAUCGCAGAUCAGCAACGCUGCGGUGAAUACGUUCCCGGGCCUUGUACACACCGCCCGUCAAGUCACGAAAGUUGGUAACACCCGAAGCCGGUGGCCUAACCCUUGUGGGGGGAGCCGUCGAAGGUGGGACCGGCGAUUGGGACUAAGUCGUAACAAGGUAACCGU
This 826-nucleotide ribosomal RNA is filed under the name uncultured bacterium. RNAcentral's name for it is "bacterial SSU rRNA". It matches the Rfam family "Bacterial small subunit ribosomal RNA", at positions 681 to 1503 of the family's 1533-position model. The record is from RNAcentral.